AGUGAACGCUGGCGGUAGGCCUAACACAUGCAAGUCGAACGGCAGCACAGUAAGAGCUUGCUCUUACGGGUGGCGAGUGGCGGACGGGUGAGGAAUACAUCGGAAUCUACUUUUUCGUGGGGGAUAACGUAGGGAAACUUACGCUAAUACCGCAUACGACCUACGGGUUAAAGCAGGGGAUCUUCGGACCUUGCGCGAUUGAAUGAGCCGAUGUCGGAUUAGCUAGUUGGCGGGGUAAAGGCCCACUAAGGCGACGAUCCGUAGCUGGUCUGAGAGGAUGAUCAGCCACACUGGAACUGAGACACGGUCCAGACUCCUACGGGAGGCAGCAGUGGGGAAUAUUGGACAAUGGGCGCAAGCCUGAUCCAGCCAUACCGCGUGGGUGAAGAAGGCCUUCGGGUUGUAAAGCCCUUUUGUUGGGAAAGAAAAGCAGCAGGUUAAUACCCCGCUGUUCUGACGGUACCCAAAGAACAAGCACCGGCUAACUUCGUG
This 492-nucleotide ribosomal RNA is filed under the name uncultured bacterium. Its description in RNAcentral is "partial 16S ribosomal RNA". It matches the Rfam family "Bacterial small subunit ribosomal RNA", at positions 29 to 507 of the family's 1533-position model. The record is from RNAcentral.